Myodes glareolus (Bank vole) is the source of this 749-nucleotide non-coding RNA. The record is from RefSeq and is a predicted model, not a curated record. NCBI's taxonomy places the organism in Eukaryota, Metazoa, Chordata, Mammalia, Rodentia, Cricetidae.
GGUGUGGACCUUGUCCCUCUGUGAGGCUCACCUUAUGCGAUUCUCAAGGCUGUGUGGGACUCUGGGGUCUCUGGGUUGGGUUCCCCUGCAUCGGGUUCUUUGUUGGCUGUGGUUCUCUAAGGAUUUCUUAUUCAUUCCUAAAGCGUAGGAGUUAGCCGGCUUCCUUACUCAUUCUUACUCACUUUCCAUUCCCUGCACCCUGCAUCCACAUCAUUGGGGAACAGGCGGAAAGGAGGGACCCGGUGUCAAAGGGGCUUCGAACGAGACGGUGGUUAAACCAAAGGCAGACAGCUUCCAUGAAGCAAGUACCCUCCUGCCACGUGCUCCCCUCUCUGAUGUCCUGCCCUGAAGAGAGCACAAAAUCCAGCAGUGCCCGUUGUUCUUGGAAUGAACCAGAAUAAAGUUAUUCCUUUUAUUAAGAGGCAUGAUUCUAAAGAUCAGUGAAGCAUACUCUAUCAUGGAAUUUUAAUUUGUGCAAGCCAGUUCCCAUCAGCACUGGGGAAGUAGCCCAUGCCUCAUCACCUGUCUGCAAACAGGGAGCAGAAACAAUGCAAUCGAGAUGCCAGCUUCUCCAGAGGGCAAAGGCAAAUGGCGCCAAUAUGUCUACUGUUUGUUCUUUCCCUGGGUCUACAGAAAACAAAUUUAUCUUGGAAUGAGCAACAUUAAACUGAACAUCGGCUUUCUUUCUGUUUUUUGGUCAAGUGGGAACACAGACUCCCGGCGGAGAGAAUAAACAACGAUGUACUUUU